GACGAACGCUGGCGGCGUGCUUAACACAUGCAAGUCGAGCGGUAAGGCCCUUUCGGGGGUACACGAGCGGCGAACGGGUGAGUAACACGUGGGUGACCUGCCCUCAGCUCUGGGAUAAGCCCGGGAAACUGGGUCUAAUACUGGAUAUGACUCCACGGUGCAUGCCGUGGGGUGGAAAGCCUUGUGCGGCUGAGGAUGGGCCCGCGGCCUAUCAGCUUGUUGGUGGGGUGAUGGCCUACCAAGGCGACGACGGGUAGCCGGCCUGAGAGGGCGACCGGCCACACUGGGACUGAGACACGGCCCAGACUCCUACGGGAGGCAGCAGGUGGGGAAUCGUUGCGCAAUGGGCGAAAGCCUGACGCAGCGACGCCGCGUGAGGGAUGACGGCC
Molecule: ribosomal RNA, 389 nt
Filed under: uncultured bacterium
Lineage: Bacteria
Description: bacterial SSU rRNA
Rfam family: Bacterial small subunit ribosomal RNA
Source: RNAcentral